CCGAGUUUACAAACUCCCAACCCUUUGUGAACCUUACCGUAUCGUUAUGCUCGGCGGGACCGCCCCGGCGCCCUCGGGCCCGGAACCAGGCGCCCGCCGGAGGCCCCAAACCCUCAUGUCUUUAGUGGUUUUCUCCUCUGAGUGACACAUAACAAUAAUAA
This 161-nucleotide unclassified non-coding RNA is filed under the name soil metagenome. RNAcentral's name for it is "partial internal transcribed spacer 1". The record is from RNAcentral.